UAGUGUUACAGCUCUUUUAGAAUUUGUCUGGUAGGUUUCCCAGUCCUCAUAGGAAGACCUCC
This 62-nucleotide small nuclear RNA is filed under the name Microcebus murinus (gray mouse lemur). RNAcentral describes it as "U7 small nuclear RNA (ENSMICG00000046122.1)". It matches the Rfam family "U7 small nuclear RNA". Rfam says of the family: Animal histone pre-mRNAs are spliced by a different mechanism than nuclear pre-mRNAs and self-splicing introns. This processing involves the U7 snRNP, which contains only one RNA species: U7. The record is from Rfam by way of RNAcentral. Lineage: Eukaryota; Metazoa; Chordata; Mammalia; Primates; Cheirogaleidae.